GACGAACGCUGGCGGCGUGCUUAACACAUGCAAGUCGUACGGUAAGGCCCUUUCGGGGGUACACGAGUGGCGAACGGGUGAGUAACACGUGAGUAACCUGCCCACAACUUUGGGAUAACGCUAGGAGACUGGUGCUAAUACUGGAUAUGUUCUCCUGCUGCAUGGUGGGGGUUGGAAAGCUCCGGCGGUUGUGGAUGGACUCGCGGCCUAUCAGCUUGUUGGUGGGGUAGUGGCCUACCAAGGCGGCGACGGGUAGCCGGCCUGAGAGGGUGACCGGCCACAUUGGGACUGAGAGACGGCCCAGACUCCGACGGGAGGCAGCAGUGGGGAAUAUUGCACAAGGGGCGCAAGCCUGAUGCAGCAACGCCGCGUGCGGGAUGACGGCCUUCGGGUUGUAAACCGCUUUCAGCAGGGACGAAGCUUUUUGUGACGGUACCUGCAGAAGAAGCACCGGCUAACUACGUG
This 465-nucleotide ribosomal RNA is filed under the name uncultured bacterium. RNAcentral describes it as "partial 16S ribosomal RNA". It matches the Rfam family "Bacterial small subunit ribosomal RNA", at positions 28 to 507 of the family's 1533-position model. The record is from RNAcentral.